AACGAACGCUGGCGGCAGGCUUAACACAUGCAAGUCGAACGGUUGUAGCAAUACAGCAGUGGCGCACGGGUGAGUAACGCGUGGAUAUCUGCCUUUUGGUUCGGAAUAACUCCGGGAAACUGGAGCUAAUACCGGAUGGUUCCUGCGGGAUAAAGAUUUAUCGCCAAAAGAUGAGUCCGCGUACGAUUAGCUAGUUGGUGAGGUAAUGGCUCACCAAGGCGACGAUCGUUAGCUGGUCUGAGAGGACGAUCAGCCACACUGGGACUGAGACACGGCCCAGACUCCUACGGGAGGCAGCAGUGGGGAAUAUUGGACAAUGGGGGCAACCCUGAUCCAGCCAUGCCGCGUGAGUGAUGAAGGCC
RNAcentral lists this ribosomal RNA (362 nucleotides) under uncultured bacterium. Its description in RNAcentral is "bacterial SSU rRNA". It matches the Rfam family "Bacterial small subunit ribosomal RNA", at positions 29 to 416 of the family's 1533-position model. The record is from RNAcentral.